This 9515-nucleotide long non-coding RNA is filed under the name Nicotiana tabacum (common tobacco). RNAcentral describes it as "long non-coding RNA (NTAB_LNC003334)". The record is from RNAcentral. Lineage: Eukaryota; Viridiplantae; Streptophyta; Magnoliopsida; Solanales; Solanaceae.
UUGUAGAAGUUUGAAGAAGUUGGAUCUCUCUUAUUGCAAGCAACUCAGAAGGACUCCAAACUUCAACGGUUCACGAAGUCUUGAGACUUUGCUGCUUGGUGGUUGCUCAAGUCUGACAGAGAUCCAUCCAUCAAUAGGAAAUUUGGACAGACUAAUUAAACUAGAUAUGUCUAGUAGCGAAAAAAUUACGUAUCUUCCAAGCAGCAUAUGCCAGCUAAAAUCCCUUGAAGACUUGGACGUUGAUGGCUGCUCAUCUAUAAAAACACUGCCAGAUAACCUUGGAGAUAUGAAAAGUCUAUUAUGUCUUUCUGCAUCUGGUACGGGUAUAAAACAAUUGCCUAGAUCUGUUGAAAUGCUAAGAAAUCUUUUAACUUUGAGAGUGGGAGGUCGAAAGAGAGAGGCCAAAAGGAGUAUUUCUGGAAGUGGAGUCCAUCGGAUACAAUAUUCCUUGUCAACUUUUGUAUCCGAAUUGAGCCUUACAUACUGUAAUUUGUCCGAGGCUGAUAUUCCUAGGGAUAUUGGGAGCUUAUCCUCCUUAGAAUAUUUAGAUUUGAGUGGCAACAGUUUCCAUUGUCUACCCAUUGAUUUUUCUAAGUUAGGAUUAUUGGCGGAGUUGUGUUUGAAUGACUGUGAGAAUCUUCAAACACUCCCGUCAGUAUCAAAUUUAGAGAAUCUUGCAAUUAUUGAACUUGAAAAUUGCCAAAAAUUGGUCAAGAUUACAGAGUUGGACAACCUCCCUUCUAUAAAGCGGAUCUACAUGAUAAAUUGUAGUUCUCUGCAGAAUCCAUUCAAUGAAGGCUUCUUUAGUGCACCUGCUGCAUUUAGAAAAGAUCCAGAUAUGGUUAGUCUCUCUCUCUCUCUCUCUCUCUCUCUCUCUCUCUCUCCUAUCAUAUUAAUGAUCUUGAGUCUUUAUCCGAUGCAGGAUUGUUUAGAAAUUUAUCUCGAAUGCAAUGAGAUUCCAGAAUGGUGCAGGAAUCAAGUAACAGCUUCAUCUAUGUGUUUGACUAUGCCGACACAUAAUAAUGAGGAGUAUAACUUCUUAGGAAUGGUUCUCUGGUUUGUUUCCGACUUUUUGGAUGCAGACCCUUCUUCAAGCUUCUCGAUUAGUAUUGCCCAUAAAAAGAAUUUAAUUGAUACGUGGAAUAUACCUUAUGAACAUAGAGAAGUAUCAUGUGUAUAUUACAUAAAUGAAGCUUUUGAUGGCCAGAUGAUUAAAGGCGGGGAAAUGAUAGAAGUGUGGUCUGAAGACAUUACAGUAAAGAAGAUAGGGAUCCAUCUGUUAUAUUUAGACCAACAUGGUAAAGUUAUAUCUUUGCCGGGAGAAGUGGAUCAUUCUUAUUCUAAGUACCCAAAAAGAGUUUCUUAGUUGGUCAGAAACGUUUUAAAUGAUAGAGUAUUGUUUAGCUUGUUCGGCAUUGGAUUCGUCUUGUUCGAGGUAAGUAACAUCUCUAAUCUUGGAGCUGAAGGUAUGAACCCUGAUUAUACGUGUUAUGUGAAUUGUUUGGAGGUGACGCACAUGCUAGAUGACGGGCGUGUGGGCGUGCACCGUAGAAAUUGAGACUCGGUUGAUUUCGUAGAGCUGUAUAGUCAAUUAACUUGUAUUUUUCCAUGUAUUUUUAUGUGUUAGAGAAACUGAGUUGUGACUCAUGUUAGAAAUCAUGUUUAGGCAAAUGUUGGAAUUAUCGGGACCCCCUGAGGUCAUUUCUGGUGUCAAAUUAUAUGUUUAAAUUGUAAUUUCAUAUUCAGUCAUAUUCAUUCAUUGCAUAUCAUAUCUCAGUCUCUGUUGUUAUUCAUUGAUACAUCAUAUCAUUAUUUUGGGCUAGUUUCAUGACAUUGUGAGCCCGAGAGACUGGAGAGAUUGAUGACUGAGUGAGGCCGGGGGCCUGAUUGUGAGGAUAAUUAUGGGAUCGGGCUGCACGUUGCAGCAAGCCAUAUUGGCUUUAUAUAAUUUAUUAUUAUGGGAUCGGGCUGCACGUUGCAGUAGGCCAGAUUGGCUCAUUAUAACACGUGAGUUGUCCGUACGGAUCCAGAAUUGAUACUAUAGUACGUGAGUUGUCCGUGCAUCACGUGAGUUGUUCGUGCAGAUUAUAGCGUUUGGGCUAAAGGAGCCCCUCCGGAGUUUGUAUACACCCCCAGUGAGCGCAGGUACCUACUGAGUGCGAGUGCCGAGCGAUUGGGAGGAUUGAGUGAUUGGGAGGAUUGAGUGAAUUGAUACUUUGAGAGUAUGCAUAUAGUUUUAUCACUGAGUUGCAUCGCAUUCGACAUGCACACUUGACAUACAAGCAUAGUGAUGCAUUUUUCCUUAUGUUGUACGGUAUCACGUCAUUCAUGAUUUCUCAUACAUAUUGAUAUGUAGGCUUAGAGAUGUAUUUUCCUCGUGCCAUUUGAAAAUGAAACAUUUACCUGUUGAAAGCUUUGAGAAAAAACAGAGAUCUCAGACUUACUCGUACUUCGGUGACUUUCGGCAAAAGAUUUGAGUUUUACUGUUAUAUUGAAAAGAAAAUGUUUAUUUUUCCGGAAUUUUAUACGAGUUGAGCAUUUUAUUAUUGAGUUAUUACUUGUGCUGCCUUAAAUUGUAUUGUUAUGAGAUAUUAUUAGUUAUUGGAGUUGGACUCUGACCCUUGUCCCAGCUCGUCACUACUUUCAACCUAAGGUUAUGUUUUGUUACUUAUUGAGUGUAUGAGGUCGGUUGUAUUCAUAUUACACUUCUGCACCUUACGUGCAGAUUUUGGAUGUUGAUGCUGUUGUACAUGGCGGGAGCUGGAUCUGAAGAUGUGCCUACGUUCCAGUCAUUGCUGCCUCUUGUUCAUGGUAACUUUAGAAUUUUAAUCUGUUCAUGUAUAUUUCAAACAAAUGAUGUAUUUUUAUUUCACACCAGAUGUGUAAAAUCUAUUCUUAGAAGCUCAUAAUUUAUACUACCAGUCCUUGGGGAGUGUAUUAGAGUCAGUUAAAUAUUAAUUGAAUCGGAUAUUUAUAAAUUGGCUUAUCUAACGGGUUGAGUUAGGUGUCAUCACGGCUAGUUGAAUUUUUGGAUCGUGACAUUUCAAUUCCUAGAAGGAAGCACAAUCAUGAACUGUACUAUAUUUAUACUACCUCUUCGGUAAGCUCUUGUUUAAUUUUAUUCGGUUAAAUUUAUGGAUGUUUCAAUUUGUAAUAGCCUAAAUUUUCUAAACCUCUUUAUUUUAUUUCAAAAUUUAACUAAGAGAAUUCGCCAAAGUCCUAUUUCAUUACUCUACAAGAGAAUAAAAUCAAGGUUUAUGUAUAGGUCACAGUCUAAGUCCAAUUUUGAAGUCUUUGUGUUGAUAAACUCAAAGUCGUUUGUGUGGGGUUUGUUUAAGUCUUUUUCUUUUAACUUCUUUCACAUGGUUGAUAAGUGAACUGAGAGAAUUGAUCAAAAUUCACUAGUAAUAAAUAUUUUCAUUCUUUGAAUAUGGAAACUUUUUUAAAAAAGAAAAAAGAAAAAAGGAAAAUAUGAAGGUUUCCACUUAAUUUCUACCAUUUUCUCCUACAACACGUUGAAUGCCAAAUUGACUUACGAAGAACCCACAAGUAAUUUCUUAGAAAGAAUCAUAAUCAUGAACAGUACUGUAUUUAUACUCCCACUUCAGGAAGCUCUUGUUUAAUUAUAUUCAAUUAGAUUUAUGGAUAUUUCAAUUUGUAGUGGCCUAACAAUUCUGAACUUCUUUUAUUAUGGUUAUGCAAAAGAGGAACUACCUAAAAAAUAUUUAGGGAAAUUUCCAUUUUCUUUCGGUUGACCCUUCUGCAGGGUUGUAAAUAACUUGACCCAAAAAUAAUACUUCUUCUGUAAUAUUGUUUAACCAGACACAAAAUUUAACGAGAGAAAUGAAGAUUUUUGAAAUAUAUGGUCUAAAAUAAGUAUUAAAUAUUGGUGGUGAUUAUAAAUUAUCUCAUUAAGAUUAAAUGAGUAUUUUAAAGUUUAAUUUUUUUAAAUAUAAAAAAAUAAUAUUUUUUUAAACGAAUUAAAAGAGAAAGUGUGUUAAUAUAGGAACAAAAGAAUUAUUAAUGAGGUAGAGUGACUUGGGUAGAUAGCUUGCUGGCAAGUAAAAGGCCAAACUUCUAACCGUUAUCUUUUUAUUUUAUUCUUAUUGUAAUGAUUUAUUGUGUGACUUGUUUUAUAUCACAUGUUUUAAAAAAAUUAUUUUUAUUUUAAAUUUCAUAUUUGUAAAAAUACCAUCAUAUAAAUUUAGACGGAUAAAAUAAAUGAAUUUUGACUUAUUCUUUCAAUUCACUUGCCGAUAAUAUAGAAGCGAUUCAAAGAAAAAGACUUUUGAGAUGCAAAAGAAGAGAACCCAAAAACUUGUAGAGUGUUUGCACUCAAUUUCUAUCAAGGCAAGUUGUAUAUACUAUCAAUACUAAAAAAUCCAAAAGUAAUUUUCUAGAACAACUCACAAACCUUGAACUAUACUUCCUUUUCGGUAAGCUCUUGUUUAAUUUUAUUUGAUUAAAUUUAUGAAUAUUGUUUCAAUAUGUAAUGGCCUAAAAUUUCUAAAGGAAUUCACAAAAUUCCUAUUCAUCACUCUACAAGAAAAUAUACUCAAGGGUCAUGUAUGAGGUGCAAAUUCAGAGGUGUAUCCAAGAUUUGAUGAUUACGGAUGUCACUGCUUUUAAUGCAAACCGACCACUAGUGACGAGAUUGAAUAUAGGUGUACAUUACGUUAGUUUGAUCCAUUUUAAAUUAAUUCUGUUCAACCCAUCUUAACCUUUUUAGAUAAAUCCAUUUUAACUUUUUUAGAUGUACAGUAUGAAUUACAGUGAAAUUUAUUUACACUAUAAGACUAAAAAUUUUGUACAAAAAAGACAUCUAAGAAAUAUGUACAAGAAUUAAGUUUCCAACCAGAAACCACAAAGCCUAAGAAAUAUCAAGGGAAACUUCCAUUUUAUUUCGUUGUGCUUAUAUGUAGCUCUGCUUAGCUACUUUCCCUUUACUGAAAAAUCAACCCUUAAUUCUUGCAUUCUCAUCAAAUCAAAUGGAUACUCAAUUAGUUAGAGGAGAAUCAUCUCACUUCUCUUAUGAAGUAUUCCUGAGUUUUAGAGGUGAAGACACCCGAAAAACAUUCACUGGUCAUCUUUAUUCCAAAUUGUCUGAUGUUGGAAUUAAUACCUUCAUUGACGACGAGGAAUUGAGAAAGGGUGACGUGAUUUCAAGAGAAUUAGAGAAAGCAAUUGAAGAGUCAAGAAUUUCCAUUAUUGUUUUCUCAAGAAAUUAUGCUUCCUCUAGUUGGUGUCUAAAUGAACUAGUUAAAAUUCUCGAAUGCAAAGAGAAAUUAAAGCAGAUGGUUUUGUCUAUUUUCUAUGAUGUUGAUCCUUCUCAAGUGCGAAGACAAACUGGGUUAUUUGGGGAAGCUUUGGCAAAACAUAAGGAACGAUCAAUUGGGACUCAAAGGGUGGAGAAAUGGAGAGCUGCACUUACUGAAGCUGCAAAUUUAUCUGGAUGGGAUUUGCAAAAUGUUGCUGACGGGUACAUUUUCUUGAUUCAACUAUAUAAUUUCAUUUUUUAUUUGUUCAAUUGUUUAUCUAAUUACUGUAAAUUUGCUGAUAAAUAUUACUCCCUCUGUCCCGUCUAUGUGUCAUACUUUCCUUUUUAGUCUGUCCCAAAAAAAUGUCCACUGAAGCUCCUAUUUGGGUUUGAAAAGGUUGUAGGUUUGAGGUUGGACCUAGACGAUCUUUUUUUGAGCAUUUUUGAGCUAGCAUUUUUGUUAAAAAUUUGAGGCCAAGGAGAUACACCUCCAUUGCUUAUACGAUGUGAUAGAUUAAAGCUACCUAUGAAUUGUUUAUACAAUUUUAUGCAACUCUUCAACCUCUUUCCAGCAAUUUGAGAAGAAACCACAUUGCAAGAAACAAAAAAUUAUUAAUGGAGGAUAAACGCAUUUUGUCUUAAAAAAAUCACAUUGUACACACACACACAAAAAAUGAGGACUCCAAAUAGAAAUAGCGAUUUAGUCUCCUUGAGGAGAUGGUUAAUACAGUAAUGGAAAAGGCCUUUGUUUUAGUUGAAUGAGAGAAUGACUGCAGUUAAAAGAGGUGUAAUUUGGGUAAAAACAAAAUGGGUACCUUGCUAAGUUACUACCUUUAUAUAAUUACACUUGUCCAACCAAACAUGACAGUGAAAAUUACUUGGUAAUUAUGUUGUGGUAAACAAGCAGGUCAUUAUAAUUAUUAUGUUGUAUAAUUACUACACUAAUAAUUACACAACCAAGUAAUUAUGCAUGGCUUUCGGCAUAGACUUAAAGAGUUUAAGCUCUAUAAAUCGACCGUAUCAAAAUAUUUAUACAAUUAGGUCUCUUAUUAUAUGACUACCGGUAAAUUUUCUGAUAAAUAUAGUGAAAAAAAAUCUUUAUACUAUCAAUAUAUAUAACUUCAAUAAUUUCUUAAAAUAUCCUAUAUGAAGCGGUAAGUUGUCUAUUUUACUGCUUAGAUUCACCCCACUGUGUUAUGUCUUGGCUAUCGAUUUUGAUUUGACCAUCAAAUAGUUUCAAAUGUCAAAGUUUUAUUAUACUGGAGUAUUUUAACUUUUUGUUUUUGCUAUAGGCAUGAAUCAAAGUUUAUUGAAAAAAUUAUACAACAAGUCCUACAAGAGGUCAACCAGACGCCUCUAGAUGUUGCUUCCAGUUGGUGUAGAUUAUCGUGUCAAAGAUAUAGAUUUGUUAUUGCAAAAUGAAUGUGAAGAUGGAGUUCGCAUAAUUGGUAUUCACGGAGUUGGUGGCAUAGGGAAAACAACUCUGGCAAAAGCUAUCUACAAUCGAAUGUUUCGACUCUUCAAUAGUAGUUGCUUCCUUUCAGAUGUUAGAUCAGAAGCUGAAGAAUUUGGUCUUGUCAAGCUACAAGAGAAACUUCUUCGACAGAUUCUCAAAACUAAAGACAUCAAAGUUGGCAGUGUUGCUCAAGGCGUCAAUCUAAUCAAAGCAAGACUUGGGUCAAAGAAGGUUCUAAUUGUUCUUGAUGAUGUGGACCACAAAAAACAAUUAGAAUCCUUAACACGAGAAAGAAGUUGGUUUGGUUCGGGUAGUUUAAUAAUCAUUUCCACCCGAGACGAGCGAUUGCUAUGGCAGCUUAGAGAAAAAGAGAGAUAUGAGGUCAAACUAUUAAAUGACAAUGAAUCUAUGUUACUUUUUAGUUGGCAUGCUUUUGAUAGUCAUUUUCCACCAGAAGAUUAUGUUAAUUUGGCACGAGACAUAAUCAAAUAUUCAGGUAGGCUACCAUUAGCUCUUGUGACAUUGGGGUCACAUUUACAAGGAAGUUCUGUAGAAGAAUGGGGAUAUGAAUUCGAAAAACUAAGAGCAAUUCCUCAUUGUGAUAUCCAAAAGAUUCUCAGGAUAAGCUUUGAUGGACUUGAUGAUGAAACACAAGCAGUUUUUCUUGAUAUUGCGUGUGCCUUCCAGGGGUUACUUGAGCAUAAAAUUACCGAAAUAUUAAAUGCAUGUGGCUUUCAUGCUAAAAGUGCAAUUGCAACUUUAGUCCAAAAGCACUUGCUCCAAAGAUCUUGGCAUGGUUUGGUGAUGCAUGAUCUAGUACGAGAUAUGGGAAGAGAAAUUGUUAGCUUGGAAUCAGCUCGAGACCCUGGAAAAUGGAGUAGAUUGUUCAUCCCUCAAGAAGUUCGUGAUGUUCUACAAGGAAAUGAAGUCAGUAAAUCCUUCAUCUUUAUCUUGGUUAUAUAUUUUUUUCUGUUAAAUUGUUUCUUGCUUAUAAUUUUUGUUGUCAUCAUAAGAAAUCAUUUGUGCUUCGUCUCCGGUUAGUAAGUAUUUUGUAGUUGUUUGUCAACCAUUGUAAACUAGAAAUGACAUUUGCUAAAUUCUUAACUCACACCAAAGGCAAAAACAAAAACAAAAAAUCACCUAUUUAACAAUUAUCCAAAUUUGGUGAUGCAUAUUUCUUAUUGAAUUCUUAUAACUAACAUGCUUAUGGGCAUAGACCAUAGUAUCUCCAUGAUUAGUUAUUCAAAGAUAUUUGACUUUCCUUAACUAAAUGCGGAAAUUAAGCUUGCUCGAAGAAAUCAGGCAUGUGCGUUUGGAAACUGUUGAAUAGGUACAUAUGUGAAACAUUAUUUCUAGAACGAUAUAUACAAAAAUGUUCUUUUAAAUAUAUUCAAAUAUAUAUUCUAUGUAUCUUCAAUUGGCGCUAUUAUCAGGUUUCUAGAUGCAAUUUGUUCUCUUUAUUCAUCUUUUUUUUCCUUUGAUAUUAUCAUGUGAACUUAUUGAAUGCUGCUAGCCAGUUUUGAGCAAUUUUAAAUUUGUUUAACAUCCUCUAAUGUGUAACUUCAUUUUUGGUGAUACAUGGUGUAUUCUCUUUGUUUGUUCACCAAUUUGUAUAAAGCAUUUUUCUUGCUUAAUUUUUGGGACUUAACAUGAGCUUAAGUUACUUUUCUUUUUACUGAGCUGCAGGGUUCCGAAAAUGUAGAAGUACUGAAGGUAGAUCCAGGGACAUUAAAGGGAGUAAACUUGAGCACCAAAGCAUUUGAGCAAAUGAAAAACCUUAGGGUUCUUAUAAUGGAUGAGUUACAUAUUAGUGGAGAUUUUGGGUUGUUUUCCAAGAAGCUCAGAUGGUUGUCUUGGAAAAAAUGUCCUUUAAAAUGUAUAUCAUCAAAUUUUCCAGCUGAGAAUCUUGUAGUUCUAGAUAUGCGGGAGAGUGAUAUCCAAGAAUUUCGAUUGAAUUUGCAGGUUUGUUACUCAAUUUUACAAUUUCAUGUGUACUAUUAUUGCUACUGAGUGGAAGAAAAUCUUAAUUGAAUCUAUAUUUGGUUUACUUUUAGUGUUGUAGAAGUUUGAAGAAGCUGGAUCUCUCUUAUUGCAAGCAACUCAGAAGCACUCCAAACUUCAAUGGUUCACUGAGUCUUGAGAUUUUGGAUCUCUGGUUGCUCAAGUCUGACGGAGAUCCAUCCAUCAAUAGGAAAUUUGGACAGACUAAUUAAACUAGAUAUGUCUGAUUGCGAAAAACUUACGGAUCUUCCAAGCAGCAUAUGCCACCUAAUAUCCGUUGAUUAAUUGAGCAUUAGUAACUGCUCAUCAAUAAAAACACUGCCAGAUAACCUUGGAGAUAUGAAAAGUCUAAGAUGUCUUUAUGCAUCUUAUACGGGUAUAAAACAAUUGCCUAGAUCUGUUGAAAUGCUAAGAAAUCUUGUAGCUUUGAAUGUGGGAGGUCAAAAGUUAGAGGCCAAAAGGGGUAUUUGUGGAAGAGGAGUCCAUCGGAUACAAUAUUCCUUGCCAACUAUUGUAUCCGAUUUGAGCCUUACAUACUGUAAUUUAUCCGAGGCUGAUAUUCCUAGGGAUAUUGGGAGCUUAUCCUCCUUAGCAUAUUUAGAUUUGAGUGGCAGCAGUUUCUAUUGUCUACCCUUUGGUUUUUCUAAGUUACGAUUAUUGGAGAAGUUGAGUUUGAAUGACUGUGAGAAUCUUCAAACACUCCCGUCAGUAUCAAAUUUAGAGUAUCUUGGAAGAAUUGAACAUAAAAAUUGCCAAAAUUUGGUCAAGAUUACAGAUUUAGACAACCUCCCUUCUAUAAGG